GCUGGCGGCGGCCUAACACAUGCAAGUCGAGCGGUAACAGAAAGUAGCUUGCUACUUUGCUGACGAGCGGCGGACGGGUGAGUAAUGCUUGGGAACAUGCCUUGAGGUGGGGGACAACAGUUGGAAACGACUGCUAAUACCGCAUAACGUCUACGGACCAAAGGGGGCUUCGGCUCUCGCCUUUAGAUUGGCCCAAGUGGGAUUAGCUAGUUGGUGAGGUAAUGGCUCACCAAGGCGACGAUCCCUAGCUGGUUUGAGAGGAUGAUCAGCCACACUGGGACUGAGACACGGCCCAGACUCCUACGGGAGGCAGCAGUGGGGAAUAUUGCACAAUGGGCGCAAGCCUGAUGCAGCCAUGCCGCGUGUGUGAAGAAGGCCUUCGGGUUGUAAAGCACUUUCAGUCAGGAGGAAAGGUUAGUAGUUAAUACCUGCUAGCUGUGACGUUACUGACAGAAGAAGCACCGGCUAACUCCGUGCCAGCAGCCGCGGUAAUACGGAGGGUGCGAGCGUUAAUCGGAAUUACUGGGCGUAAAGCGUACGCAGGCGGUUUGUUAAGCGAGAUGUGAAAGCCCCGGGCUCAACCUGGGAACUGCAUUUCGAACUGGCAAACUAGAGUGUGAUAGAGGGUGGUAGAAUUUCAGGUGUAGCGGUGAAAUGCGUAGAGAUCUGAAGGAAUACCGAUGGCGAAGGCAGCCACCUGGGUCAACACUGACGCUCAUGUACGAAAGCGUGGG
Molecule: ribosomal RNA, 734 nt
Filed under: uncultured bacterium
Lineage: Bacteria
Description: bacterial SSU rRNA
Rfam family: Bacterial small subunit ribosomal RNA
Source: RNAcentral